Molecule: transfer RNA, 65 nt
Filed under: Heterocephalus glaber (naked mole-rat)
Lineage: Eukaryota; Metazoa; Chordata; Mammalia; Rodentia; Bathyergidae
Rfam family: tRNA
About the family: Transfer RNA (tRNA) molecules are approximately 80 nucleotides in length.
Source: Rfam by way of RNAcentral
GGCUUAGUUCAGUGGUAGAAUACUUGCCUAACAUGUGUGAGGUCCUGGGUUCAAUCCCCAGAACC